RNAcentral lists this long non-coding RNA (458 nucleotides) under Gossypium raimondii (Peruvian cotton). RNAcentral describes it as "long non-coding RNA (GRAI_LNC009522)". The record is from RNAcentral. Lineage: Eukaryota; Viridiplantae; Streptophyta; Magnoliopsida; Malvales; Malvaceae.
ACAUGUACAAAAUUUUCAAGUCUACUAUGAGCCCGUGUAUAAAUAUAAAAAUGGUAUACAGGGGGUAGUGCCUAUCUGAUAGGUGGCACCAAUGACCCCUAUCUGAUAGGCGGCACCAAUGAAACAAUUUUAGGGUCUUAUUUAAUGGUCUCGGUGAAGAAGAGGAUUAGGGUUAAAAAAAUAGCAAAAGAGAAGGAAGAAGAGAGGGAGAAAAAAGAAAAAAAGAAAGGAGAAGAAAAAAGAAGGAUAAUGUAUUUUUGUUUUUUUUUUUUAAAAUAGAAUGGAUUAUGAUGAGGAUAAAUUAUUUUGUUAGUAUUUUGUAGUUUGUUUAUUGUUAUUUUUAUGUUAUUUUUAAUUUAUUUUAAAGUUAUUUUGUUAGUAAGUUUUGUGAUUAGGUUAAUUGUUUGUUUAGGGUUUAUUGUGAUUUGUUAGGUUAUGAAUGUAAUUUUUAAUAUUUU